UACGGAGGGAGCUAGCGUUGUUCGGAAUUACUGGGCGUAAAGCGCGCGUAGGCGGCUUUGUAAGUUAGAGGUGAAAGCCCGGAGCUCAACUCCGGAACUGCCUUUAAAACUGCAUCGCUUGAAUCCAGGAGAGGUGAGUGGAAUUCCGAGUGUAGAGGUGAAAUUCGUAGAUAUUCGGAAGAACACCAGUGGCGAAGGCGGCUCACUGGACUGGUAUUGGCGCUGAGGUGCGAAAGCGUGGGGAGCAAACAGG
Molecule: ribosomal RNA, 253 nt
Filed under: uncultured bacterium
Lineage: Bacteria
Description: partial 16S ribosomal RNA
Rfam family: Bacterial small subunit ribosomal RNA
Source: RNAcentral